UGUGAAAGGAUGAUAAAAUCAGACGGAUUCCCAAUGAUAAUCCAUGAUAUCACAACCAGCUACUUCUGAUCACA
Molecule: small nucleolar RNA, 74 nt
Organism: Cucurbita moschata (crookneck pumpkin)
Lineage: Eukaryota; Viridiplantae; Streptophyta; Magnoliopsida; Cucurbitales; Cucurbitaceae
Product: small nucleolar RNA R12
Exons: 1
Source: RefSeq, a predicted model, not a curated record